AGAGUUUGAUCAUGGCUCAGGACGAACGCUGGCGGCGUGCUUAACACAUGCAAGUCGAACGGAAAGGCCCUUCGGGGUACUCGAGUGGCGAACGGGUGAGUAACACGUGGGUGAUCUGCCCUGCACUUUGGGAUAAGCCUGGGAAACUGGGUCUAAUACCGAAUAUGACCAUGCACUUCCUGGUGUGUGGUGGAAAGCUUUUGCGGUGUGGGAUGGGCCCGCGGCCUAUCAGCUUGUUGGUGGGGUAAUGGCCUACCAAGGCGACGACGGGUAGCCGGCCUGAGAGGGUGACCGGCCACACUGGGACUGAGAUACGGCCCAGACUCCUACGGGAGGCAGCAGUGGGGAAUAUUGCACAAUGGGCGCAAGCCUGAUGCAGCGACGCCGCGUGAGGGAUGACGGCCUUCGGGUUGUAAACCUCUUUCAGCACAGACGAAGCGCGAGUGACGGUAUGUGCAGAAGAAGGACCGGCCAACUACGUGCCAGCAGCCGCGGUAAUACGUAGGGUCCGAGCGUUGUCCGGAAUUACUGGGCGUAAAGAGCUCGUAGGUGGUUUGUCGCGUUGUUCGUGAAAACUCACAGCUUAACUGUGGGCGUGCGGGCGAUACGGGCAGACUGGAGUACUGCAGGGGAGACUGGAAUUCCUGGUGUAGCGGUGGAAUGCGCAGAUAUCAGGAGGAACACCGGUGGCGAAGGCGGGUCUCUGGGCAGUAACUGACGCUGAGGAGCGAAAGCGUGGGGAGCGAACAGGAUUAGAUACCCUGGUAGUCC
This 771-nucleotide ribosomal RNA is filed under the name uncultured bacterium. Its description in RNAcentral is "bacterial SSU rRNA". It matches the Rfam family "Bacterial small subunit ribosomal RNA", at positions 8 to 796 of the family's 1533-position model. The record is from RNAcentral.